AGGGAGAGCGAAAGAGGAAGAUCGGUAUUAGGAGGAGGAACGACAAGGAGCUCAGUUUUAGAGAGAUUGAGUCUCAGAAAGCAGGGGGACAUCCAGACAGAGAUGGAAGAAAGGCAAGCAGUGACACGUUGCAGGACUGCAGGGGAGAGGUCCGGGGAGGAGAGAUAUAUCUGGGUGUCAUCAGCGUACAGGUGGUAGUGAAAUCCAAAUGAGGUAAUGAGUUUGCCAAGAGAGGCAGUAUAAAGAGAAAAGAGAAGGGGACCAAGGACACACUGCAAGGCGUAUUCAGAUGUAUCCAG
Molecule: non-coding RNA, 299 nt
Organism: Pelobates cultripes (western spadefoot toad)
Lineage: Eukaryota; Metazoa; Chordata; Amphibia; Anura; Pelobatidae
Source: the annotation of a GenBank genome assembly